This 2235-nucleotide ribosomal RNA is filed under the name Agrobacterium fabrum str. C58. RNAcentral describes it as "bacterial LSU rRNA". It matches the Rfam family "Bacterial large subunit ribosomal RNA", at positions 150 to 2548 of the family's 2925-position model. Lineage: Bacteria; Pseudomonadati; Pseudomonadota; Alphaproteobacteria; Hyphomicrobiales; Rhizobiaceae. The record is from RNAcentral.
AUCUUACUUUCGAAUACAUAGGGGUAAGAAGCGAACGCAGGGAACUGAAACAUCUAAGUACCUGCAGGAAAGGACAUCAACCGAGACUCCGUAAGUAGUGGCGAGCGAACGCGGACCAGGCCAGUGGCAAUGAUGAAUAAAGCGGAACGAUUUGGAAAAGUCGGCCAUAGAGGGUGAUAGCCCCUUACGCGUAGAACAGUCAUUGUCCUUGAGUAGGGCGGGGCACGUGAAAUCCUGUCUGAACAUGGGGAGACCACUCUCCAAGCCUAAGUACUCGUGCAUGACCGAUAGCGAACAAGUACCGUGAGGGAAAGGUGAAAAGCACCCCGACGAGGGGAGUGAAAUAGAACCUGAAACCGGAUGCCUACAAACAGUCGGAGCCCGCAAGGGUGACGGCGUACCUUUUGUAUAAUGGGUCAACGACUUAGUGUAACUAGCAAGCUUAAGCCGGUAGGUGUAGGCGCAGCGAAAGCGAGUCUGAAUAGGGCGAUUUAGUUAGUUGCAUUAGACCCGAAACCGAGUGAUCUAGCCAUGAGCAGGCUGAAGGUUGGGUAACACCAACUGGAGGGCCGAACCCGUAUCUGUUGCAAUAGAUUGGGAUGACUUGUGGCUAGGGGUGAAAGGCCAAUCAAACUCGGAAAUAGCUGGUUCUCCGCGAAAUCUAUUUAGGUAGAGCGUCGACCGAAUACCCUCGGGGGUAGAGCACUGGAUGGGCUAUGGGGACUCACCGUCUUACUGAUCCUAACCAAACUCCGAAUACCGAGGAGUACUAGUCGGCAGACACACGGCGGGUGCUAACGUCCGUCGUGAAAAGGGCAACAACCCUGACCUCCAGCUAAGGUCCCCAAGUCAUGGCUAAGUGGGAAAGGAUGUGAGGAUCCCAAAACAACCAGGAUGUUGGCUUAGAAGCAGCCAUCAUUUAAAGAAAGCGUAACAGCUCACUGGUCUAAAUAAGGGUCUUUGCGCCGAAAAUGUAACGGGGCUAAAGCCAUGCACCGAAGCUGAGGAUUUGCACUUUGUGCAAGUGGUAGCGGAGCGUUCCGUAAGUCUGUGAAGGCGGACCCGUGAGGGCUGCUGGAGAUAUCGGAAGUGCGAAUGUUGACAUGAGUAACGAUAAAGGGAGUGAGAGACUCCCUCGCCGAAAGACCAAGGGUUCCUGCUUAAAGUUAAUCUGAGCAGGGUUAGCCGGCCCCUAAGACGAGGCGGACACGCGUAGUCGAUGGGAACCACGUUAAUAUUCGUGGGCCUGGUGGUAGUGACGGAUCUCGUGUGUUGUACAUUCUUACUGGAUUGAAUGUGCGGCGAAGAGGUUCCAGGAAAUAGCUCCACCGUAUAGACCGUACCCGAAACCGACACAGGUGGUCAGGUAGAGUAUACCAAGGCGCUUGAGAGAACUAUGUUGAAGGAACUCGGCAAAUUGCACGCGUAACUUCGGAAGAAGCGUGACCCUUUUGUACGCAAGUAUGAUGGGGUGGCACAGACCAGGGGGUAGCGACUGUUUAUCAAAAACACAGGGCUCUGCGAAGUAGCAAUACGACGUAUAGGGUCUGACGCCUGCCCGGUGCUGGAAGGUUAAAGGGAGGGGUGCAAGCUCUGAACUGAAGCCCCAGUAAACGGCGGCCGUAACUAUAACGGUCCUAAGGUAGCGAAAUUCCUUGUCGGGUAAGUUCCGACCUGCACGAAUGGCGUAACGACUUCCCCGCUGUCUCCAACAUAGACUCAGUGAAAUUGAAUUCCCCGUGAAGAUGCGGGGUUCCUGCGGUCAGACGGAAAGACCCCGUGCACCUUUACUAUAGCUUUACACUGGCAUUCGCCAAGGCAUGUGUAGGAUAGGUGGUAGGCUUUGAAGCAUGGACGCCAGUUCGUGUGGAGCCAUCCUUGAAAUACCACCCUUAUCUUCGUGGAUGUCUAACCGCGGUCCGUUAUCCGGAUCCGGGACAGUGUAUGGUGGGUAGUUUGACUGGGGCGGUCGCCUCCGAAAGAGUAACGGAGGCGCGCGAUGGUGGGCUCAGACCGGUCGGAAAUCGGUCGUCGAGUGCAAUGGCAUAAGCCCGCCUGACUGCGAGACUGACAAGUCGAGCAGAGACGAAAGUCGGUCAUAGUGAUCCGGUGGUCCCGUGUGGAAGGGCCAUCGCUCAACGGAUAAAAGGUACGCCGGGGAUAACAGGCUGAUGACCCCCAAGAGUCCAUAUCGACGGGGUUGUUUGGCACCUCGAUGUCGACUCAUCGCAUCCU